ACGGGGUGCAGCAGGCGCGAAACCUUCACAAUGUGCGAAAGCGCGAUGAGGGGAUCCCAAGUGCUUGCUCGUAAGAGUAAGCUGUUUUUAUGUCUAAAAAGCAUAGAGAGUAAGGGCUGGGUAAGACGGGUGCCAGCCGCCGCGGUAAUACCUGCAGCUCAAGUAGUGAUCGCUAUUAUUGGGCCUAAAACGUUCGUAGCCGGUUUGAUAAAUGCCUGGGUAAAUAGUGUAGCUUAACUAUACGAAUUCCGGGUAGACUGUUAAACUUGAGACCGGGAGAGGCUAGAGGUACUCCUGGGGUAGAGGUGAAAUUCUGUAAUCCUGAGGGGACCACCAGUGGCGAAGGCGUCUAGCUAGAACGGGUCUGACGGUGAGGAACGAAGCCCUGGGGCGCGAACCGGAUUAGAUACCCGGGUAGUCCAGGGUGUAAACGCUGCUUGCUUGAUGUUAGUUGGGCUCCGAGCCCAAUUAGUGUCGGAGAGAAGUUGUUAAGCAAGCUGCCUGGGAAGUACGAUCGCAAGA
Molecule: ribosomal RNA, 522 nt
Filed under: uncultured archaeon
Lineage: Archaea
Description: bacterial SSU rRNA
Rfam family: Archaeal small subunit ribosomal RNA
Source: RNAcentral